RNAcentral lists this long non-coding RNA (669 nucleotides) under Trifolium pratense (red clover). Its description in RNAcentral is "long non-coding RNA (TPRA_LNC005044)". Lineage: Eukaryota; Viridiplantae; Streptophyta; Magnoliopsida; Fabales; Fabaceae. The record is from RNAcentral.
UUGAUGUGUUGAUUUGAGUGAUUUACCAUGAUUGAAGAGUGUAUGUGAGGAUUGUGAUGAAAUCAUAGAGCAUUGGUUGAAAAGUGUGAGUUACUUGAAAAUGCCUUGCGGGAACUAUUGUGCAAUUGAGUGUUGCUUGCGAGUGGACCAUUGAUCAUCAGGUAAGUCUCACGCAUGUAUGAUUCGAGUAAUCUAAGGAAAAUGCCAAAGUCUUGACACAAAAGCUUGAGGUAAAAGUUGUUUCCUUGAGGACAAGGAAAGGUUUAAGUUUGGGGUUGUGAUGACGGAUCGUCACACUCUCUAAUCCAUGCCUAUUUGAGUGACAUUAGACUCAUUUUAGAGGGUUUUAAGCAAUAAAAUCAAGAGAAAUCAACUCGGAAGCAAGGUUACUUGGAAUACAAGAAAGCAGGAAAUUAUGCAGAAAAAUACAGUUUUGCACUACGCUGGGGGCGUGGUCCAUCACGCGCAGCGUGAUGCUUAUCACAGAGAGACCAAAAACCUGCUUUGAUCACGCGCGGCGUGGGGACUGUCCACGCGCGGCGUGAAACUAUGACCUGAGAAGACUUGCUCACUGACUUAGUCACGCGCGGCGUGAAGGAGAAAAUUGCACUACGCUGGGGGCGUAGCCCAUCUCACGCGCAGCGUAGUGUUAAUUUCAGCAACCACNNN